RNAcentral lists this unclassified non-coding RNA (254 nucleotides) under uncultured Patescibacteria group bacterium. Its description in RNAcentral is "contains 16S-23S intergenic spacer region". It matches the Rfam family "Bacterial small subunit ribosomal RNA", at positions 524 to 776 of the family's 1533-position model. The record is from RNAcentral.
UACGUAGGGUGCAAGCGUUAUCCGAAUUUACUGGGCGUAAAGCGUUUCGCAGGCGUUUUGGUAAGUCGCACUUCAAAGCCCGAGGCUUAACCUCGGAAAGGGGUGCGAUACUGCCAGAAUUGAGGAUUGUCGGGGUUACUGGAACUGUCGGUGUAGGGGUGAAAUCCGUUGAUAUCGACAGGAACGCCAAGGGCGAAGGCAAGUAACUAGGCAAUAUCUGACGCUCAUGAACGAAAGCUAGGGUAGCGAAAGGG